This 74-nucleotide transfer RNA is filed under the name Tindallia magadiensis. RNAcentral's name for it is "tRNA_Ala_GGC". It matches the Rfam family "tRNA". Rfam says of the family: Transfer RNA (tRNA) molecules are approximately 80 nucleotides in length. Their secondary structure includes four short double-helical elements and three loops (D, anti-codon, and T loops). Further hydrogen bonds mediate the characteristic L-shaped molecular structure. tRNAs have two regions of fundamental functional importance: the anti-codon, which is responsible for specific mRNA codon recognition, and the 3' end, to which the tRNAs corresponding amino acid is attached (by aminoacyl-tRNA synthetases). tRNAs cope with the degeneracy of the genetic code in two manners: having more than one tRNA (with a specific anti-codon) for a particular amino acid; and 'wobble' base-pairing, i.e. permitting non-standard base-pairing at the 3rd anti-codon position. The record is from RNAcentral. Lineage: Bacteria; Bacillati; Bacillota; Clostridia; Peptostreptococcales; Tindalliaceae. RNAcentral also lists the same sequence under 1 other name.
GGGGGCGUAGCUCAGCCUGGGAGAGCGCUUGACUGGCAGUCAAGAGGUCAGGGGUUCGAGCCCCCUCGUCUCCA